GACGAACGCUGGCGGCGUGCUUAACACAUGCAAGUCGAACGGAAAGGCCCUGCUUUUGUGGGGUGCUCGAGUGGCGAACGGGUGAGUAACACGUGAGUAACCUGCCCUUGACUUUGGGAUAACUUCAGGAAACUGGGGCUAAUACCGGAUAGGAGCUCCUGCUGCAGGGUGGGGGUUGGAAAGUUUCGGCGGGUGGGGAUGGACUCGCGGCUUAUCAGCUUGUUGGUGGGGUAGUGGCUGACCAAGGCUUUGACGGGUAGCCGGCCUGAGAGGGUGACCGGCCACAUUGGGCCUGAGAUACGGCCCAGACUCCUACGGGAGGCAGCAGUGGGGAAUAUUGCACAAUGGGCCGAAGCCUGAUGCAGCAACGCCGCGUGCGGGAUGACGGCCUUCGGGUUGUAAACCGCUUUCGCCUGUGACGAAGCGUGAGUGACGGUAAUGGGUAAAGAAGCACCGGCUAACUACGUG
RNAcentral lists this ribosomal RNA (468 nucleotides) under uncultured bacterium. RNAcentral describes it as "partial 16S ribosomal RNA". It matches the Rfam family "Bacterial small subunit ribosomal RNA", at positions 28 to 507 of the family's 1533-position model. The record is from RNAcentral.